This 965-nucleotide long non-coding RNA is filed under the name Prunus dulcis (almond). Lineage: Eukaryota; Viridiplantae; Streptophyta; Magnoliopsida; Rosales; Rosaceae. The record is from RNAcentral.
UCUCUUCCUCCUCAUCCUCUCUCUCUCUCUCUCCGAUGAAGAAGGUGAAGGGGGUGAUGAUGGCGAGGGACAUAUCGACAACAACGACGAUGAGGGUGAGCCCAUACCUUCAUCAAUGACGACAACGACAACAACGAGAGGGUGAGUUCUUUCUUUUCCCCUAUUUUUUUUGUGGUUUUUAGUAGAUUCCAAAGAUUUUUCUCAUAUUUGUUUUUCUGAAUUUUUAUUAAUCAAUAUUGGCCAUGUUGGUUGUCCAUACCUUCAUGACGAAUAGAGAAUAUGUGUGGUUAAUUUGCAGUCCGUAGUUAUAUGCUUUAGACAAUUAAUUUACAUGUGGGUUUCUUUUUUCUUUCUUUUUUUCUUUUUGGAAUAAGGAUUUUCAUUCAAUUUAUUAUUAUUUUGAUUUAUUUUUUUAGAACAGUGGGUUGCUAUUUCAUGAGGGAGAUGGCAAAGUUGCAGUCCAUGUCAUGUAUUCUUGGCCUUCUUCCCUGAUGCUUCUAUUACUUUCUUGUAAAAUGGUUUUGAAGAGAUCUGGUCUGUCUUUGGAGGGAUUUUUUCGUGAAUAUCUCUUUCGUUUUUGAUUUCUUUAUUCUUUCGCUUUUGUUAAAUAACUGACAAUUGAUAAAGUUUUGAAUGCUUUAUAGGUUGGGAAAAGUUAUUUAUACCUAGUGUGGAAGCAAGAAGCUAUUACAUUUUCUCAGUUUCUUGAGAGGAUUAAGGCUAAUGGCUCUUCCUCUGCUGCCCCAACAUAUCUUGAGAGGAUUUGCAUCUCAUAUUCACCAAAUGCAACUUUUGAAAUUAUUCUUAUAAACUGGUACUUUUAAACUUUUAUUAAUUUGUUCUUUUGUGUUUUUGGUAGAAACAGAUCAUUGGAGCUUCUAAGAUGCGGCAACAAAGAAAAUGGAGCUGUAAUUUAAAAUUUGGUCGUAAUUUAGUUUGCUUCAUUAUAAAUUUGGUUAUAAUUU